AAACUGAAGAGUUUGAUCCUGGCUCAGAUUGAACGCUGGCGGCAUGCCUUACACAUGCAAGUCGAACGGCAGCACGGAGCUUGCUCUGGUGGCGA
Molecule: ribosomal RNA, 95 nt
Filed under: Janthinobacterium sp. SUN211
Lineage: Bacteria; Pseudomonadati; Pseudomonadota; Betaproteobacteria; Burkholderiales; Oxalobacteraceae
Description: partial 16S ribosomal RNA
Rfam family: Bacterial small subunit ribosomal RNA
Source: RNAcentral